AUUGAACGCUGGCGGCAGGCCUAACACAUGCAAGUCGAACGCGUGGCGGACGGGUGAGUAAUGUCUGGGAAACUGCCUGCUGGCGGGGGAUAACCACUAGAAACGGUAGCUAAUCCCGCAUACCAUCAGAUGUGCCCAGAUGGGAUUAGCUUGUUGGUGGGGUAAGGGCUCACCAAGGCGACUAGCGCUCACUGGUCUGAGUGGAUGACCAGCAACAAUGGAACUGAGAAACGGUCCAGACACCGACGGGAGGCAGCAUUGGGGAAUAUUGCACAAUGGGCGCAAGCCUGAUGCAGCCAUGCCGCGUGUAUGAAGAAGGCCUUCGGGUUGUAAAGUACUUUCAGCGGGGAGGCGUUACCCGCAGAAGAAGCACCGGCUAACUCCGUGCCAGCCGCCGCGGUAAUAC
RNAcentral lists this ribosomal RNA (406 nucleotides) under uncultured bacterium. RNAcentral describes it as "partial 16S ribosomal RNA". It matches the Rfam family "Bacterial small subunit ribosomal RNA", at positions 30 to 526 of the family's 1533-position model. The record is from RNAcentral.